AACACCAUAUUCAUCUCCGCUACUAAAACCACAUUUAUUUUAUGUUUCCAUCAUUUUAAUUUUUUAUUUAGUAUUGCAAUAAAAGAAAAAAGAGAAAACAAAAUAGAGAGGAAGAAAGAAGAAGGAGGAAGAAGAAGAAAGAAAGGAAAAGAGAAAGAGAAGAAAAAAAGAGAGAUCGUGAGAGAAAAAGAAGAAAGAGAGAAUAAAAAAAGGAAAGAAA
Molecule: long non-coding RNA, 220 nt
Filed under: Lathyrus oleraceus (garden pea)
Lineage: Eukaryota; Viridiplantae; Streptophyta; Magnoliopsida; Fabales; Fabaceae
Description: Pisum sativum (pea) long non-coding RNA (PSAT_LNC019401)
Source: RNAcentral